Molecule: long non-coding RNA, 4496 nt
Filed under: Triticum aestivum (bread wheat)
Lineage: Eukaryota; Viridiplantae; Streptophyta; Magnoliopsida; Poales; Poaceae
Description: long non-coding RNA (TAES_LNC006187)
Source: RNAcentral
GACCUCGACCUCCUCGGCGAAGUAUUUGGGCUUGGCCACGGCGUCGGGCAACGGGGGAAUGGGCACUCCCCCGUCGCUGAGUCUCCACCCCAUCGGCCCGGCGCGCAUGUCCGGCGGCGCCAGGAUGUUCGCCUAGAACAGGAGCCAGGACUCCUGUUCGUGCAGCGAACAGCGGCCGAAGCCGUUGGCCGCCGCCUCGUCUCCGGGGAAACACUCUGCCAUGGCGACGUGUUCGGGAGAGGUAGAGAGGGAGAGGGAGGGGCUGGGCGGCGGCGAGGGGCGGGGCUAGUGUGGGCACAUGCGAGUGAGGCCACCGGCUAUAUAGCCGCGCCGCGCCCGUGUGUACGCGUGCGAGGGAGGGGAGGCGUCGGUGCGCUGCCCCGUGACGCGCCGCCCGUGAGGAAUCAAUGGCAAGGCUGCCGGUCAGCCUUGCCAUUGAUUCCCCGCGGGAACCGAGGCCGUUGGGGGAAGACGAGGCGUCGUGUCACUGACGCGGCUGGCCCGCAGCUUUUUCGGGCCAAAACAGCUCGCUCCGGCGCCCCGGGGCGCCCCCCCAGUGCGCCGGGUUCGGCCUGGGUCCGUCGGCGCUGUUUUCGGCCUAGGCCGGCGAAAAUCGGGCUCCUGGGGGCACGACUGGGCCGUUUUUUCGGCGCCGGCACGAAAAAAUCGCCUGGGGAGGCCUUCCUGGGGGCGCGGCUGGAGAUGCUCUAAGGAGCAAGAACAUGGGUUUGAGCAAUAAGUGAUUUUUUCUGGAGGAAGAAGAAGGGAAUGUGCGGCUGGGGUAAGUGAGUGGGUCCCUGUGGGACCCACAAGCCCACAUGGAGCGCCCUAGGGGGUGGCGCGCCCUAUGAGCUUGUGGCUCACAGGUGCAUCCCCCGGAGUGUGUUCAAAAUAGUUAAAUAUUCUAUAGAAAUCAUACAUAUUUUCCUCGGCAUAGAAGACCAGUUCGGGGGCUACUAACGGUGUCCUGGAUAAGGGAGUACUAACCCACCCGACCCAUUCUCUUCGGGUUGGGUCAACAAGCCUUAAUUCGUGAUCAGAUGGACUCCGAAAGCUAUAUGCAGGAGGCGUGAUCAAGUCUGCCUCCCCCGAAGACUUGACCUAUACUCCAAGAUCUCUGAUGCCACCUAGCUCCUAGUUACCGACCAUGUAACCCUACGUAGCCUCCCUGGCAUGUAUAUAAGUCAUAGGGUUUAGCCCGUAGAGGGGACAUCAACACAAAAUCAUUCACCUAGCCCUAGAGUUAGACCACACAUUACUAUCUCAAGGUAGAUUAAUUUUGUACUCGAUACAUCUCCAUCAAUAUAAACAAGAACAGGGCGUAGGGGUUUUACAUCCAUCAAGAGGGCCAGAACCUGGGUAAACACCGUCUCCUUCGUUCCUGUUACCCUCGAUCCGAGAUCUACAGCUCGGGACCCCCUACCCCGAGGUCUACCGGUUUUGACACCGGCAUAAAUGCUUCGUAAUUGAGAGGUGUGAUCUCCUUAGGUUUCUGCUAAGGGCAUCCUUACCUUCUGUUUUUCGUAGUGAAUGCUUCUUAAAUGAGAGGUGUGAUCUCCUUAGGUUUCUGUUCAUGGAUCCAAGGUCCCUCCCAAAAUGGGGUCUUUGAGCCAUUGCCAUUGGUGAUCGUGGUGGGGACAUAGAAGAGAUCAUGGUGCUUCUCGUCACAAGGAUUUCUCAUACCAACCCAUAACUUGUAUGGUUCGUUCCAUUCAUACCACGACCAUAUUAACCUUCAAACUCUGGCAAAUUUCAUGGCGUUCAGCACGCAAGGAUACCUUACUCAUAGGCCGAUACUGGUAGUCUUGUCUGGUCCGUACCAAGGAUAGUCCCUCUCAGUCUUGUUUGUGUUGCAUAUAGUUCUCUGGGGAACGAUGAGAGGAGCAAUGGCCGUGAUGUUGUUGCCCUUCCAUGGGGUAAACUUGUCUUAAAGGAAUUGAAAGUCCAAUCUCUUGAAUGUCUUGUUUGUUGUACGAACUAAUUUUUUCCAUACUUCCUUUGUACGACCCGAAAUCAUUGAGUCGGUGAUGUCAAAUUGAAUUACUCUAGUUAAUUUUGUUUAAUUUCUAAUUGUUGAUUUUCUUUUGAGGUAGUGUAUGUCAAAUUGAAUUACUCUAGUUAAUUUUGUUUAAUUUCUAAUUGUUGAUUUUCUUUUGAGGUAGUGUUAUUUGCCGUUAUUUAUAGCCGCUUAAUUUUAGCCCUGGCUUUGAUGAAUUCUGGCUUUACCUCUGUUGCCCCCGGCAAACCAUUGUUCAACAUUGUGUAUAUAAUCCAUAAAGAGAGGACCCUGAUUUUGACGCCAAAAAACCCCCUAUAGGCGCGUCACUCAUGCAUGUGUAAGUGAGCUGGUCUAAGGAAUUGAGUAGGCAUUUUCGUGGUGAGAUAAACAUGGCACUAUAUAGAAACACAGAGACAGACAUUUGUCCAUCAACAUGACAGUGCAAAACUAUGCAAUGCAACCCCACCAUUCAUCAUUCCAAUGAGCCUCAGCCCAGUCCAGCCCCCACUCUACCUACAUUCCUCAGAUAAUAAUAAUAUCCAGAUGCUCCAACCAGACAACAAAAAUGUAGUACUAGUAGUAGUACAAGGUAGUAUAAAUUACAAAUCAAGACAAAGCUAACCCUCUGAAGUCUGAACGGAGACAAAGGCACAGAAAGAACCAAAGCGCCGCUAAGCCCUAGCGCUGGCUGCUCCUGGAUCAGCCCCCUCCCACGCUCUUUAUAAACCGCCCCAACCCCAGUGCCACUGCCCCACCCCACCCCAUGAUCUGAUCCACAAAGCUCCUGGAAGCCACCACGCCACCUUUGCUCGCUCGCCCUUCCUCUGCUCCAAGAAGCCUUUUCUUUGAGCUCGAGUGUUCGCUUGCUUGCCCUCCACCGCCAUGAUCCAAGAACUCCUCGGAGGCACGGCCAUGGAGCAGCAGCAGCAGCAGCAGCAGCUCAAGUGCGCCGGCAACGCCGCGAACCACCACGGCUCGCUCCCCAUGGUGCUGCAGCCCAUCUCCUCCAACCCGUCCCCCACGUCCUCCUCCACCUCCUCGCGCUCCUCCACGCAGCGGUCGCCCUCGGCCGCGUCGUCGCCGCAGGGGCAGGGGCAGGCGCAGCAGGGGCCGCCGGGGCCGGAGCAGGCGCCGCUGCGUUGCCCCCGGUGCAACUCCUCCAACACCAAGUUCUGCUACUACAACAACUACAACCUCACACAGCCGCGCCACUUCUGCAAGACGUGCCGCCGCUACUGGACCAAGGGCGGCGCGCUCCGCAACGUCCCCAUCGGCGGCGGCUGCCGCAAGCCGCGCCCCAUGCCGGCGCCCGUCGCCAAGGCGCAGCCCUCCUCCUGCAAGUCCGUGCUCGGCAUGGGCGUCGGCGCCGCGCCGUCCCUCGGCCUCGGCAUGGGCGUGGGCGGCGGCAUGUCCUGGGCCUCCGCGCCGCAGACCGCCACCGCGCAGCUCAUGGCGCUGCUCAACAGCGCCAGGGCCGGCUACGCCGGCAGCAACAUGCACCGGCUUCUCGGCCUUGACACCAUGGGGCAGCUCCAGGUCCUGCCGGGGUCGGCCAACGGCGGGCAGGGCAUGUCGCCGUCGCUGUGGCCGCAGGCGACGCACCGGCCGACCAUGCCUCCGCCACCAAUGCACCUCGGCAUGGGCUCGCUGGGGCUGGGCCAGGGCCAGGGCCACCACAACCUGCUGUCAGGGCUGGAGCUCAAGCCGCCCUCAUCUUCACCGUCACCAUCUUCACUCGCGGCGAGCUACUACAGCGACCAGCUGAACGCGGUGGUGAGCAACGGCGGCGCGGGCCGCCCGCACCCGUACGACACCCAGGCGUCGUCCUACCCUUGCAGCACGGCGAUGUGCUCGCUCCCGCCGUCCGCGUCGACCGUCUCGGCGGCGCAGAGCAGCCACACCGUGGGAAUGGACCAGCAGCCACCCACCAUGUCGCUGGGCACGCAGGAGAUGCAGUACUGGAGCGGCGGGCCGGCGUCAAUGAUGGCAUGGCCGGACUUGCCCACUCUCAACGGCGCCUUCCCAUGAUCGGCCUCGACAACGCCGGCCGGCCGGCCGGCUGUUACAUGCAUGAUGACAGCAAUAGCGUAGCUCAGCUCAGUCUAGCGUCGUGUGGUUUCCUUCUCAAUUAUUACUUGUGUUUUCCUUUUGUUAAUCAAUCAGUGGGGGGUGACGUGACGAGUAACUUCGGUUUACUGUCUGCUUAGCUAGGUUUAUCAGUAUUAAGAGAGUAGUAACUGGUGGUGCUGGUAUAGUGGUAUAGUCUUCAAGUCAGGAGGGUCACUGGCAAAUUAUGGUGGGGUGUAGUUCAAGAAGAUGUCGAUCGAUUUCGUUUCAAAAUGUCGAUGAAUGUGUGUUUGUGUAAGGUUACAUUUGCAUUUGCUGCAAGCUGGUCUAGUACUUAUUUGUCUGCAAACUACCUACUUCACUUUGGUCCCAAAAACAAAAAUGCAAACGUACACAGGUUUGGGGGUCGCAACUCGCAAGCAAGUACUCC